This 468-nucleotide ribosomal RNA is filed under the name uncultured bacterium. Its description in RNAcentral is "partial 16S ribosomal RNA". It matches the Rfam family "Bacterial small subunit ribosomal RNA", at positions 28 to 507 of the family's 1533-position model. The record is from RNAcentral.
GACGAACGCUGGCGGCGUGCUUAACACAUGCAAGUCGAACGGAAAGGCCCUGCUUUUGUUGGGUGCUCGAGUGGCGAACGGGUGAGUAACACGUGAGUAACCUGCCCUUGACUUUGGGAUAACUUCAGGAAACUGGGGCUAAUACCGGAUAGGAGCUCCUGCUGCAUGGUGGGGGUUGGAAAGUUUCGGCGGUUGGGGAUGGACUCGCGGCUUAUCAGCUUGUUUGUGGGGUAGUGGCUUACCAAGGCUUUGACGGGUAGCCGGCCUGAGAGGGUGACCGGGGACAUUGGGACUGAGAGACGGCCCAGACUCCUACGGGAGGCAGCAGGGGGGAAUAUUGCACAGUGGGCGGAAGCCUGAUGCAGCAACGUCGCGUGCGGGAUGACGGCCUUCGGGUUGUAAACCGCUGUCGACUGUGACGAAGCGUGAGUGACGGUAAUGGGUAAAGAAGCACCGGCUAACUACGUG